AGGCCUUAGUUUGACUGUUUUCCAUUCAUUUUUUUCAAAAUGUAUCUCUUGGACUAUAUUGCCAACAGCAUGUGAUAUUAAGUGUGAGACUGGACAUCAUUUAAAAAAAAAUAAGACAUGCAUGUUCCACUUCUCCCAGAACUUUCCAGAGAGUUAGCAAAAAAAAAAAACCCCACCCGUUACCAUGACGACGUUAAUUUCCGUUUUUUUAUACUCCAUGGCAAAUGGAAGCUAAAACAGUAUAGAGUAGACAGAAAUUAGCAAAAGCAUUUUUUUAUUUCAGGCAUUUUUUUUUUCUGACUUUAUGGCUGGUGAUACAAUGGACGCAGCUACAUUUUAAGAAUUAUUUUUUAAAAAGGAAUUCUGCAACUUUUCCCAGCUUGCCAUGCUCUUCGCGUCAUAAACCCGCGCGCCGUAAGUGCAUGGGUGCCCCUGGAUGACGUCAAUAUUGCGUUGUAUGAUGGAAACCGCCUUCGUGUGUUGCAUGAUGGGAAUUGUAGUAUCUUCGUGUAAGGACGGGUUUACUACUGUCCUUAUGCAGAUCGGCGGGGUGAUGGGAGUUUUAGGCUAUAUAGGAAACGCAUCAGGUGGGCUGAUCCCAAAAAUGCUUGAAGAAGCAUCUGAAGGAAUGAAAAAACUAAAGUGUUGGGCUAUGAACUGAUUAUUUUUAUAACAAUACUUUACAUCUUACAUCCUGAAUAGCCCUUUGAAGUAGUUUCCAAAUAAUGAAAAAAAGAAGCUAUAGAACAAUACAGACCCAUUACUUGCUCUGUUAUUUGAAGAAUUGUCUCCUGUGCAUCCUCCAACCCAGCCUAUUACCCCACUGAUAGCAAACACUCUGCUUCUAGAUAUGGAAAAGAAAAAUAUGUCAAUUGCAUCAGGCCACAUUGUUCCUAGAUUACAAAUUGAAGAUGACAACCAUAUUUGAGGCAAGAAAGUUUUUUUAAAAUAAAAACCUGGUUUGGAAUUAUGGAAGAGGAUAAGUUAUCCAAGGAAUACAUCUACUGUUGUAGGAAGUUAGCAUCCACCCCUCUCCUAGAAGAAUGAAAUAUUUUAGGAAAUUAAAAAGGCAGAAUAUUAUAUUUCCCUGGAGGAGAAAAGGAGAGACAAAGCAGCUCCCUGCCUCCCCCUUCCGUUCCAAGGUGAUAGGAUUAAGACAUGGCCCUCAGGACAUGAUAGGAUUAGCCCUCUACUCACCUAGCAACAGAACUCACCACAUGGCACCUGGGGAGAUUAUAUCAUCCAGCAAGAUUCAACCAAGUUUGGGACUCAAGGCACUACAAAGUUACCACUGCAUGGCCCCAUGGGAGUCUAACAACCAGUCAGAAUACAGAAAGAGGAAGCUCCAAGGCGGGACCCAAGAGAGGGUAUAAAUCUCUCCCUCCCUCUUUCUCCUCCCUCCCACCCUCUCUCCCUCCCUCCCCCCCAUGUGCUUUUUUUUUGCCCAGGACCUCAAAACCACAUGGUCCUGUCCACCAUUAAACCAUUUUUUCAAGCAGU
Molecule: long non-coding RNA, 1500 nt
Organism: Pantherophis guttatus
Lineage: Eukaryota; Metazoa; Chordata; Lepidosauria; Squamata; Colubridae
Source: RefSeq, a predicted model, not a curated record